UAUUCUCAUUGUAUGUUCAAACAGAUCAAACUUGACAGUUGAAGCUACUUAACAGCUUUUGUUUGGUUGUGUACUAUAACUCCUUUUUUUUUCUGUUGCCUUUUUAAUAAAAUCUGUGAGGUGCACCAGUUUCACGUUUUUGCUUGCAUUAUCUGUAACUGCUGCAUUAUUGUCUUCUCCUUGCCUAUGCCUUUCUAAACUGUUGAAACCCCCCAGCUGAAUUGUAGUGGAGUUCUAGUAGUAGCUGUCUGUUUUAUACACACAUUUAUCUACUUUAUUUCUGAAAGUCUUAAAAAUUUUGAGAGUUGCUCAUUCUUUUAUAUGGGUCCCACUAGUUAGAAUUACUAAUACCUCUCCCUUUGUACUGUGUUUCUGUGCUGCUUUGAAGCCAUGGUUAAAAUACAUCUUUUGCCAGUUUCUUUUGUGACUCUUGAACAGAUGGAUAUUUCUUCUCUCUCUCUUCUCAUCCCACCCACCCUGUCCCUCAGAUGGGAGGGGCAAACAUCCAGCUUCUCUAACUAGUUGACAGCUGUCUUUAUAUUUUUGGGGUUUUUUCUGUCUUUUUUUCUUCACCAUUUUUCUUUUUUCUCUUCUGCCUUUUCUAGACAUUCUGCUGUCCUCAUAAUUCCUCAGAUAUUCUUUAACUUUGGUAUCUUUUUCUGUCCCCCUUUAAAUCUGCGUUUGCCACAUGGGAGACCCAUACUGGGUGAUAAUGGGAUCCUGGAGGUUGAAUAUCUGAUGAGUUGCUCCCAUCAAGCCAUCUCCUAGAUGAGAGAGACAUUUUCAACACAACUUAUCCACUACUAUUUCAAGGUACCACUUAUGGACAAGAUUUUUUUCACCAUCUGACACUCAAAGAUGAGACAACAUUUGUGGCUCUUAUUGUCAUGGGUGUGAUAAUUCCUGGCAUCUUCAUAUUUAUCUUCAUUCUCGUUUGCCGUCAGAGAAGAAAAGAACUGUUUAUGAGAAGAACUCAAAUGCUGCUGCAGAAUGCCCAAGACUUUUCCAUGGAUGAUUUUCCUGUGCAAGACAAGACAUAUUCUUCUACUAUCAAACUGUAAAAGUAUUCCAAGAUCAUAGAUAGGUUUGCAGUUGCACAAACUUCUUGAAGAAUCAAAUAGCAGAAAUGAUUCUUUGAAGAUUUGUUUUUAACAAAAAGCAUAAUAGCCAAGAGAAUGAAAGCUGAUUGUUUUCUUGCAGUCAUAAAGUGUUUGUAACUAUCAAAGUGCUUUUUACAUAACUUGAAAAAGUUUCUUUUAAAGAUGUGAUUUAUAUGUAAGGUAGUAAUAAUACUGAAUAUUUAGGACACACAUUCUUUCCUCUGUCAAGGAAGUUUCCAGCGUUCACAAAGAGACUACAAAUAACAAGUGAAAGACAAAAUGAAUACUGUACACUAUACACUACUAUCUGAAUUAAAUAAAAUACAUCCUAUAAAUUCCAACCCACUGCCACAGACAUAGGGAAAGCCUACAAAUUGCAGGUUAAUUAAUUUUGUUUCUCACUGAAAUGGGUACUGUUCAAAGUUUUAGUUUAUUUUAUUCCUUGUUACUCCUCGAGGAGCAUAGGGCUGCAGCAACACCUCACCAGCAGACCAUGUUUUGGGCAGCCUCCCUCAGUUGUGCCCAUGUGGUCCUGUCGUCCUUUACCUUGCUCAUUACUGUUCUUUUCCAAGUUUUCUUUGGUCUCCCAACUCUCCUCUUCCCCAGAGGGUCCCAGUCAAGUGCCUGCCUGGUAAUGGUGUCGGCUAGUUUGUGCAGGGUAUGUCCCCAUUGGCACUUUUUUAUGUGUAGGUUAAUGGAAUUCUGGCUGGUUCUUUUCCACAGGAUGCUGUUGGAGAUCUUUUAGGCCAUCUUAUUCCCAGAAUAUAGUGUAGGCAUCGGUUGGUAAAUGUCUGGAGCUUGUUGUUGAUGAUGUUUGUCACUCUCCAGGUUUC
Molecule: RNA transcript, 1933 nt
Organism: Pomacea canaliculata
Lineage: Eukaryota; Metazoa; Mollusca; Gastropoda; Architaenioglossa; Ampullariidae
Exons: 3
Source: RefSeq, a predicted model, not a curated record